RNAcentral lists this long non-coding RNA (213 nucleotides) under Olea europaea (common olive). Its description in RNAcentral is "long non-coding RNA (OEUR_LNC000626)". Lineage: Eukaryota; Viridiplantae; Streptophyta; Magnoliopsida; Lamiales; Oleaceae. The record is from RNAcentral.
GCAUUUUCUCGCCUUAGUCCUAGAUUUUGAUCUAGACCUACCUUUGCUCUUCUUUUUCCAUCCAUUACCACUUGACUCGCCACUAGUUUGAUAUCCCUCAUGACUAUUUUGCCUAAAUUGAGUUCUACCCCGCAUCAUAUGUACCUCACCAUUCCUCUUAUCAUGUUUUUCAGCCCUAAUUUCCAUUUCUUUACUUUUAGGGGAAUCUAUGAC